This 301-nucleotide ribosomal RNA is filed under the name uncultured bacterium. Its description in RNAcentral is "partial 16S ribosomal RNA". It matches the Rfam family "Bacterial small subunit ribosomal RNA", at positions 509 to 807 of the family's 1533-position model. The record is from RNAcentral.
CAGCCGCCGCGGGAAUACGAAGGGGGCUAGCGUUGCUCGGAAUGACUGGGCGUAAAGGGCGCGUAGGCGGAUUGUUUAGUUAGGCGUGAAAUUCCUGGGCUUAACCUGGGGACUGCGCUUAAUACAGGCAGUCUAGAGUGAGGAAGAGGGUUGUGGAAUUCCCAGUGUAGAGGUGAAAUUCGUAGAUAUUGGGAAGAACACCGGUGGCGAAGGCGGCAACCUGGUCCUUGACUGACGCUGAGGCGCGAAAGCGUGGGGAGCAAACAGGAUUAGAUACCCCUGUAGUCCCUGUCUCUUAUAC